Molecule: ribosomal RNA, 506 nt
Filed under: uncultured bacterium
Lineage: Bacteria
Description: partial 16S ribosomal RNA
Rfam family: Bacterial small subunit ribosomal RNA
Source: RNAcentral
AGUGAACGCUGGCGGUAGGCCUAACACAUGCAAGUCGAACGGCAGCACAGGAGAGCUUGCUCUCUGGGUGGCGAGUGGCGGACGGGUGAGGAAUACAUCGGAAUCUACUUUUUCGUGGGGGAUAACGUAGGGAAACUUACGCUAAUACCGCAUACGACCUACGGGUGAAAGCAGGGGAUCUUCGGACCUUGCGCGAUUGAAUGAGCCGAUGUCGGAUUAGCUAGUUGGCGGGGUAAAGGCCCACCAAGGCGACGAUCCGUAGCUGGUCUGAGAGGUGGAUCAGCCACACUGGAACUGAGACACGGGCCAGACUCCUACGGGAGGCAGCAGUGGGGAAGAUUGGACAAUGGGCGCAAGCCUGAUUCAGCCAUACCGCGUGGGUGAAGAAGGCCUUCGGGUUGUAAAGCCCUUUUGUUGGGAAAGAAAUCCAGCUGGUUAAUACCCGGUUGGGAUGACGGUACCCAAAGAAUAAGCACCGGCUAACUUCGUGCCAGCCGCCGCGGUAA